CACAGUGUAGCAAUACAUGGGUGGCGACCGGCAAACGGGUGCGGAACACGUACGCAACUUCCUUCAGGCGGGGAAUAGCCCAGAGAAAUUUGGAUUAAUACCCCAUAAUAUUUUGAGAUGGCAUCAUCUUAUUAUUAAAGCUACGGCACCUGGAGAUGGGCGUGCGGCUGAUUAGGUAGUUGGCGGGGUAAUGGCCCACCAAGCCUACGAUCAGUAGCUGAUGUGAGAGCAUGAUCAGCCACACGGGCACUGAGACACGGGCCCGACUCCUACGGGAGGCAGCAGUAAGGAAUAUUGGUCAAUGGACGCAAGUCUGAACCAGCCAUGCCGCGUGGAGGAUGAAGGUCCUCUGGAUUGUAAACUUCUUUUAUCUGGGACGAAAAAAGGGUUUUCUAACUCGUCUGACGGUACCAGAUGAAUAAGCACCGGCUAACUCCGUGCCAGCAGCCGCGGUAAUACGGAGGGUGCAAGCGUUAUCCGGAUUCACUGGGUUUAAAGGGUGCGUAGGCGGGCAUUUAAGUCAGUGGUGAAAUACCUGAGCUUAACUUGGGAACUGCCAUUGAUACUAUUUGUCUUGAAUGUCGUGGAGGUUAGCGGAAUAUGUCAUGUAGCGGUGAAAUGCUUAGAUAUGACAUAGAACACCUAUUGCGAAGGCAGCUAACUACGCGAAUAUUGACGCUGAGGCACGAAAGCGUGGGGAUCAAACAGAUUAGAUACCCUGGUAGUCCACGCCCUAAACGA
This 741-nucleotide ribosomal RNA is filed under the name uncultured bacterium. Its description in RNAcentral is "SSU rRNA". It matches the Rfam family "Bacterial small subunit ribosomal RNA", at positions 70 to 809 of the family's 1533-position model. The record is from RNAcentral.